Molecule: ribosomal RNA, 253 nt
Filed under: uncultured bacterium
Lineage: Bacteria
Description: partial 16S ribosomal RNA
Rfam family: Bacterial small subunit ribosomal RNA
Source: RNAcentral
UACGUAGGUGACAAGCGUUGUCCGGAUUUACUGGGCGUAAAGAGCGCGCAGGCGGUCGUUCAAGUCGAGUGUGAAAGCCCCCGGCUCAACUGGGGAGGGUCACUCGAUACUGAUCGACUCGAAGGCAGGAGAGGGAAGUGGAAUUCCCGGUGUAGUGGUGAAAUGCGUAGAUAUCGGGAGGAACACCAGUGGCGAAGGCGACUUCCUGGCCUGUUCUUGACGCUGAGGCGCGAAAGCCAGGGUAGCAAACGGG